CAAAAGGCAUUUCUUAAUGCCACAAAUUUAUUAAAAAGCAACUGU
Non-coding RNA from Lobosporangium transversale, 45 nucleotides. NCBI's taxonomy places the organism in Eukaryota, Fungi, Mortierellomycota, Mortierellomycetes, Mortierellales, Mortierellaceae. The record is from Rfam.